Molecule: unclassified non-coding RNA, 349 nt
Filed under: soil metagenome
Description: partial contains 5.8S ribosomal RNA, internal transcribed spacer 2, and large subunit ribosomal RNA
Rfam family: 5.8S ribosomal RNA (bases 1-120)
Source: RNAcentral
GAUGAAGAACGCAGCAAAAUGCGAUAAGUAAUGUGAAUUGCAGAAUUCAGUGAAUCAUCGAAUCUUUGAACGCACAUUGCGCCCGCUGGUAUUCCGGCGGGCAUGCCUGUUCGAGCGUCAUUUCAACCCUCAAGCCCCCGGGUUUGGUGUUGGGGAUCGGCUCUGCCCUUCUGGGCGGUGCCGCCCCCGAAAUACAUUGGCGGUCUCGCUGCAGCCUCCAUUGCGUAGUAGCUAACACCUCGCAACUGGAACGCGGCGCGGCCAUGCCGUAAAACCCCAACUUCUGAAUGUUGACCUCGGAUCAGGUAGGAAUACCCGCUGAACUUAAGCAUAUCAAUAAGCGGAGGGA